RNAcentral lists this long non-coding RNA (2738 nucleotides) under Salvia miltiorrhiza (redroot sage). RNAcentral's name for it is "long non-coding RNA (SMIL_LNC007297)". Lineage: Eukaryota; Viridiplantae; Streptophyta; Magnoliopsida; Lamiales; Lamiaceae. The record is from RNAcentral.
UUUUUGGAGAUUCUUUCUGCACUUGUUGAUUUUUACAUCCUCUGCUAUUAUGUCCUUUCCCUUGACAGUUGCUGCAAGUCAUAAUUACACCAUGCUUUGUGAGUUUCCCAUCCUUCUCUUCUGGAGCUCUUGUUCUUUUCUUCUUUGGUCUGCCAAUCCUUUUCCUCACAGUUGGAGGUUUCACAGUGAAUCCUUCUACGUCAUGUAGUGACCCGCUCNCACAAGAAGCAUGUUAAGCCACUUUUCCGGUAGAACCCACGGCUUGAAACCUUGAUUAAACGACGAGAACUUUAGCUUUAAACGUAGAUGAACUUGAACAAGCACAGCAUGCUCACAUAGGUAUAGAUUUAGGCCGGUGUACGAGUGAGAAUCGAGGCAAGAAAGGGCGAAGAACUCUGGUUUUGGAAACUGGAAACCCUCGUCGAUCUGCCCAGAAAAUGCCAGAGCAGAGCUGGAAGUUCCAGAGCAGAACUGGAAGUUCCAGAGCAGAGCUGGAAAUACCAGAGCAGAGCUGGAAAUACCAGAGCAGAGCUGGAAAUGCCAGAGCAGAGCUGAAAAUUCCAGAGCAGAACUGGAAAUACCAGAGCAGAGCUGGAAAUUCCAAAGCAGAGCUAGAAACGCCAGAGCAGAGCUGCAAGACCAGAGCACAGCUGGAAAACGCCAGAGCAGAGCUGACUUCAGAGCAAAUAGCCAGAGCUGACUUCGGAGGCCAGAGCUGACUUCCAGAGCAAGUCGCCAGAGCUGACUUUCGGAGGCCAGAGCUGACUUUCCAGAGCUAAGUCGCCAGAGCUGACUUUCGGAGGCCAGAGCUGACUUUCCAGAGCUAAGUCGCCAGAGCUGACUUUCGGAGGCCAGAGCUGACUUUCCAGAGCUAAGUCGCCAGAGCUGACUUUCCAGAGCUAAGUCGCCAGAGCUGACUUUUCAGAGCUAACUCAGCCAGAGCUGACUUAGAAGCCAGAGCUGAUUUCCAGAGCAGAGAGCGAAGAGACAGAGCAGAUCGCGAGAGAAAGAGAGAGAUAAGAACUUAGGGUGUUUGAGUUUUAUUCUUUUUUCCCUUUGCCUACACGAAGGGGGAAAUUAUGUUUAAGUGGCAGUUUAGAACACCCUAAUGAGAACGAAUCAAUAUAGUUAAUUACUUGACUUCACGAGACGAAACCUAGUUGGUUUAAAUUGUUUUUAAUAACAAGGACUAGUGAUAAAGUUUCCCUAAGUAUUGUCUCAGUAAUAAAAAGGGAAUAUGAGUCAUGCAUAUUCACUAUACGCAUUCUCAUUUAUUUGAGAAUUUUCUUCGAGCUAAGGUUUGACCUUAUGUUCUCGCAUUAGGUUAAGCACAAGAGUAAGAGCUAGUCAAGGAGUUAUUGAACUGAAGCAAAGCAUUGCUAUCAGGUGGGCAUUACUUUACUAUACGUAUAUAGAGAUCCCCUGCGUAUCGUAGGCCUCUUAUACGAAUGAAUGCAUGAGAUGAUUUAACUGUUAAUUUCAGUUUUAUAUAUAUCUAUCAAACAAGUUUAAUGCUACCUUUUGAACAAGUUAUUUCGUUACAAAAUCUUUGAAUUAAAGUUAUUUCAAGUAUUGUCUUGCCAUAAAAUGUUUCAAUUUUAGUAUGAUAUCUAUCUGCUUUGGCUUUGCCAAUGAUGUAAUCGAAUUCGGGUCUUGAGCAGUUGAUAGUUAUCCUGCCUUGACUAGUGUACACCAAUGACCGUGAGUCAUCUAGCGGGUUGGCCGGUCAAGUGUUCGUGAGAGGUGGCCACCUCUCCGACACACAGUUCCAGAUAAGAUAGAAUACAAGAGAACUUAGUCUGCAGACGAACUUUAAGAAUCACAAAUGAAUUUAGUAAGCUUGGGCCUAUUUCAUGAAAACUCCCUUGCUGUACUGUUUAUGAUGGCAUGACAAUUUACAGUUUUGAUGCAUGUAUGUUUAUAUUUAGGCAUACGUGCCCACUGAGUACUCUCGUACUCAGCCCUGCAUAUAUUUCUAAAUGUGCAGGUUGAGCAGUGGCUGAUGGAGAUGAAGUGAAGAGCGGAGCUUUUGUCACAAGUUAAAUGAAUGAACUCUUGGAUACAUGUCUUCAUACAUGUAAUCAGAUUAUGUUAUUCCGCUGCGUACUCUUAGGUUUUAUGUUCUUUUAGUUAAGCCAGUUUUGUCUGAACCUACAAGUCUGUUCGAGUCUUGUGACUAAACAUCAGGUGUACUAUAAAUUUUCCCUCCUUUAAACAAAUUUUAGUUCGAUCCUCUAUUAUUUGUUCAUCCCCUUUCUAUCGUCGUCGUUAACUGUGUCCUUAGUUACGUUUUCCUGGCUUAUUUAUCCUUAAUUAAGUCCGGUCGUGACAGAAACUCCCUUUCUAUCACCGUCGAUAACUGUGUCCCUUCGUCGCGGUUUCCCGGCUUAGUUAUCCUCAAUUAAGUCGGGUAGUGGUCCGUGACACGUCAGGCCACAUUUUCUCACCUCUAACUGGUGGCAACCCAAUCUGGUACCCUUCUAAAUAUCUCUUGACAAUGUAGUAGUCAUUCACAUAAUCAACAGGAUCAAGUUUCAUGAAUUGUAUAGAAGAUAUAGCAUGCUUACAAGGGAUACCCGUCAAAUCCCAAAUUCUACAUGUACAUGCACGGUUAGUCACAUCCACCACAAACUUGUCAGCCUCAUCAUGAACCUCAAACUUGCCUCCUAAUGCUGGAAAUGGUAUGCAAUUUCUACUACACCAUUUGGUAACUUCUAAACUCUUCCUAAUGUUUGGCA